GAAAGACGAUUAUAAAUUUUCCUGGAAUGAGAAUUGAACAUUUGAUGGGCAGUGGGCACAACUUCAUACAUUCACGGUAUUACUUGCAUAUGCGUACGUAUAAGACGCAGAUAAUCCACUCUGUUCAUGAUACAAAAAGUCUUGUUGUUAGCAUCCCAAACAUUUAUGUAAGCAAUACGUCGUAACAUCGACGGAAUGAACUGAGCAGAAUGGCAGAUCGCAAAAAAAUACAACAGUAAAAAAAACAGCAGCCGUCGUUGCCCAUGGGCUUGUCUCCGGCUUAUAGUUGGGCUUGACUGACCUACUUUGCCCUUUUUACAGCGAAAAUGCGACAUUCCUUCUCCUUUACCAACUGGCUGGUUGGUGAUGCGGUGCCGUUGAUUUGCAACGCUAAUCAGGGAUUAACCAGUUGCAUUUAGCCGACAUAUUUGGAAUUCUAAAACAAAAUAUAUUGGAUCUGAGCACAAUUCAUUUAACCAAAUUUUUUAAUUUUGAUAACAAUUAAUUUUAGAAGUAGUAUUUACCCACAUAAUAUUAAAGUUAAUUCAUGUGAAAAUCUUGUAUAACCUGUAAUAAAAGAGGAGUAAUAGUUUUAAU
This is a long non-coding RNA of Folsomia candida, 597 nucleotides long. RefSeq lists it as uncharacterized. NCBI's taxonomy places the organism in Eukaryota, Metazoa, Arthropoda, Collembola, Entomobryomorpha, Isotomidae. The record is from RefSeq and is a predicted model, not a curated record. The transcript has 2 exons.